ACGGGGAAUCAGGGUUCGAUUCCGGAGAGGGAGCCUGAGAAAUGGCUACCACAUCCAAGGACGGCAGCAGGCGCGAAAAUUACCCACUCCCAGCACGGGGAGGUAGUGACGAAAAAUACGGAUACGGGACUCAAUUGAGGCUCCGUAAUUCGAAUGAGUACAAUUUAAAUCCUUUAACGAGGACCAAUUGGAGGGCAAGUCUGGUGCCAGCAGCCGCGGUAACUCCAGCUCCAAAAGCGUAUAUUAAAGUUGCUGCAGUUAAAAAGCUCGUAGUUGGAUCUGGGUAGUGCGAUCGCAUGCUGUUGCUUGUUCACGGUCUUGGUUACGAUCAGGGCAGUGGUCAGCUCGGCGUAGUGGUUGUGCAACCUUUCAGCCGUGUCUGUGUUUUAUUAAACAGGUGUCGAUGGGUUAAUGAGUAUUGUAUCUUAUUGACCUGUUGGCAUGCUUUCGGAUGCCUUUAAACGGGUGUCGGGGGCGGACGGCAUCUUUACUUUGAACAAAUUUGAGUGCUCAAAGCAGGCCUAUGCGCCUGAAAAUUCUUGCAUGGAAUAAUGAAAUAGGACUUCGGUUCUAUUUUGUUGGUUUUCGGAUCCGAAGUAAUGGUUAAGAGGGACAGACGGGGGCAUUUGUAUGGCGGUGUUAGAGGUGAAAUUCUGGGAUCGCCGCCAGACAAACUACAGCGAAAGCAUUUGCCAAGAAUGUUUUCAUUGAUCAGGAGCGAAAGUCAGAGUUUCGAAGACGAUCAGAUACCGUCGUAGUUCUGACCAUAAACGAUGCCAACUGACGAUCCGCGUUGGUUCUAUAAUUGACAUCGCGGGCAGUCCCCGGGAAACCUUUAAGUCUUUGGGCUCCGGGGGGAGUAUGGUUGCAAAGCUGAAACUUAAAGGAAUUGACGGAAGGGCACCACCAGGAGUGGAGCCUGCGGUUUAAUUCGACUCAACACGGGAAAACUCACCCGGCCCGGACACUGUGAGGAUUGACAGAUUGAAAGCUCUUUCUUGAUUCGGUGGUUGGUGGUGCAUGGCCGUUCUUAGUUGGUGGAGCGAUUUGUCUGGUUAAUUCCGAUAACGAACGAGACUUUAACCUA
This 1087-nucleotide ribosomal RNA is filed under the name Schistosoma japonicum. RNAcentral's name for it is "SSU rRNA". It matches the Rfam family "Eukaryotic small subunit ribosomal RNA", at positions 362 to 1350 of the family's 1831-position model. Lineage: Eukaryota; Metazoa; Platyhelminthes; Trematoda; Strigeidida; Schistosomatidae. The record is from RNAcentral.